AUCCCAUUCGUACUAAUGGUCAGGUCGUCACCCUUUCAAGGUGAAGGUACGAGUUCGAAUCUCGUAUGGGAUA
This 73-nucleotide transfer RNA is filed under the name Cronobacter phage S13. It matches the Rfam family "tRNA". From Rfam's summary of the family: Transfer RNA (tRNA) molecules are approximately 80 nucleotides in length. Their secondary structure includes four short double-helical elements and three loops (D, anti-codon, and T loops). The record is from Rfam by way of RNAcentral. Lineage: Duplodnaviria; Heunggongvirae; Uroviricota; Caudoviricetes; Pantevenvirales; Straboviridae.